CACCGCCUGGGGAGUACGACCGCAAGGUUAAAACUCAAAUGAAUUGACGGGGACCCGCACAAGUAGUGGAGCAUGUGGUUUAAUUCGAAGAUACGCGCAGAACCUUACCAACACUUGACAUGUUCGUCGCGACUUUAAGAGAUUAAAGUUUUCGGUUCGGCCGGACGAAACACAGGUGCUGCAUGGCUGUCGUCAGCUCGUGUCGUGAGAUGUUGGGUUAAGUCCCGCAACGAGCGCGACCCUCACUUUUAGUUGCCAUCAUUAAGUUGGGCACUCUGAAAGAACUGCCAGUGAUAAGCUGGGGGAAGGUGGGGAUGACGUCAAGUCCUCAUGGCCCUUACGUGUUGGGCUACACACGUGCUACAAUGGCAUUUACAAUAGGAAGCAAGAUGGCGACGUCAAGCAAAUCCUAAAAAGAUGCCUCAGUUCGGAUUGUACUCUGCAACUCGAGUACAUGAAGCUGGAAUUACUAGUAAUCGCGGAUCAGCGCGCCGCGGUGAAUACGUUCCCGGGUCUUGUACACACCGCCCGUCACACCAUGGGAGUUGGUUCUACCUUAAGGCAAGGUUUCAAACCCUUGACCACGGUAUAGUCAGCGACUGGGGUGAAGUCGUAACAAGGUAGCCGUAGGGGAACCUGCGGCUGGAUUACCUCCUUUCUAAGGAUGAUUAAGAAACUUUUUCUUAAUCUAAAUAAUAUAACAGGCUAAUGUUGACCGUCCUCAUUUCUCUUCUUGAAAUUAGUGUUUCACUCUUCUGCGAAAAGGGCCGGUAGCUCAGUUGGUUAGAGCACACCCUUGAUAAGGGUGGGGUCGAAAGUUCGAGUCUUUCUCGGCCCACCAUUUUUACUGGGGGAUUAGCUCAGCUGGGAGAGCGCCUGAUUUGCAUUCAGGAGGUCAGCGGUUCGAUCCCGCUAUCCUCCACCAGGAAGCACUUAGUUAUUAUUUUUGUGAAAAAUUUUUUAUUAUCAAUAUCUAUAUCCGAUUGUUCGAAUAGAUGAACAAUCAAUAAAUAUUCGAGUAAAUGAAUAUUUAAUAAAAAUUUGAUUCGACACAGAAUUUUUUUCUG
RNAcentral lists this small RNA (1067 nucleotides) under uncultured Pelagibacterales bacterium. RNAcentral's name for it is "bacterial SSU rRNA". The stretch from base 1 to 658 matches the Rfam family "Bacterial small subunit ribosomal RNA", at positions 867 to 1533 of the family's 1533-position model. The record is from RNAcentral. Lineage: Bacteria; Pseudomonadati; Pseudomonadota; Alphaproteobacteria; Candidatus Pelagibacterales.